UGAGUUGUUGACUAAUCGGUAAGUCCUCUAGAUUUGAGCUAGACCUAUAUACGUUCGAAUCGUAUCAACUCAG
RNAcentral lists this transfer RNA (73 nucleotides) under Zhuliangozyma blackwelliae. RNAcentral's name for it is "Candida blackwelliae tRNA-Gln". Lineage: Eukaryota; Fungi; Ascomycota; Pichiomycetes; Serinales; Debaryomycetaceae. The record is from RNAcentral.